UCCCUACGGGGCGCACCAGGCGCGAAAACUUUACAAUGCGGGCAACCGUGAUAAGGGAACCUCGAGUGCCUGUAUAUGCAGGCUGUCCAGGUGUCUAAAACACGCCUGAAGAAAGGGCCGGGCAAGACCGGUGCCAGCCGCCGCGGUAAUACA
This 153-nucleotide ribosomal RNA is filed under the name uncultured Methanoculleus sp. RNAcentral describes it as "partial 16S ribosomal RNA". It matches the Rfam family "Archaeal small subunit ribosomal RNA", at positions 319 to 477 of the family's 1478-position model. Lineage: Archaea; Methanobacteriati; Methanobacteriota; Methanomicrobia; Methanomicrobiales; Methanomicrobiaceae. The record is from RNAcentral.